This is a non-coding RNA of Nowakowskiella sp. JEL0407, 81 nucleotides long. The record is from the annotation of a GenBank genome assembly. NCBI's taxonomy places the organism in Eukaryota, Fungi, Chytridiomycota, Chytridiomycetes, Cladochytriales, Nowakowskiellaceae.
GCGGAGAUGGCCGAGAGGUUAAGGCGUUGUCUUCAGGUGGCAAUGUAGUAAUACGCGUGGGUUCGAACCCCACUUUCCGCA